Molecule: long non-coding RNA, 1015 nt
Organism: Mustela lutreola (European mink)
Lineage: Eukaryota; Metazoa; Chordata; Mammalia; Carnivora; Mustelidae
Exons: 3
Source: RefSeq, a predicted model, not a curated record
GUGCGGGUGGCCAGCGGCCCGGGGACUCCGAGGCGGUGGGUGCGGGAGCAGAAGUGAGACCGGGAGGACAGGUGCGGGGGAGGUGACGGAAGGAAAGGUAAGAGGCUCAUGCAGAAGAAAAAGUGGAGGGAGCUCAGAGGCAGACACCCAGCACACCAGUCCUCACCCUUGCCACCAUAAGCCAAGACCCCUAGAGGCCCUGCCUGUAUGUCUAUGCUUUCUUGCCUCAGAAAUCCAGGAGCUAGGCUUCCGCGGCAGAGGACGCUCAGACAUCUGGAGCCAGAGCUUCCACCCUUCCGGACCUGGACGACAUCAUGUCCGUCACCAUGUCCACCCAAGCUGGCGGAAGAAAAACCGGAAUUGGGCCUGGGGCCCACCCCAGCUCCGCCGGGGAAGAGGGAAGGCAAAGGCGGUUAACCUACACCGAGUUCCAAGCCGGCCUGGCGCCUACCCAGGAGAUCUGGCUGUGGGGAAGAAUUUCCAGGGUUAGAGCCUGCCUGCUGUCCUGUUUCCUUACACUCAGGGGAAGCCCUCAGCAUUCUCCGAGGAAAGGGACGUGAGAGAGUGGGUUGGGAAUAGGGAGUUUACUAAAAGAGGAGUAAGAAAAGAAAACAAAACAAAACAAAAAUAAUGGGGGAAGAAACAGCAUCACCAUUUAGUGGAAAGAGAUUUAGGCUGGGAUGCAAUAGCCUUAAAUUCUCACCCUGACUUUAUUAUUUAUUAGCUGCGGAAUCUUGGACAAGUUACUUAAAUUCUCUGAGUGUCAAGUCAUUCUUUAUAAAAGUGGAAUAGUGACUUUUUCACAAAAGAUUGUCUGGAUUAGUGCUUGCCUGUGGCUAAGGGUAGAUGGAGAGUGACUAUAAAUGGGCACAAGAUUUCUUUUUGGGGUGAGGGAAUUGUUCUCAAACAAAACUGUAAAUAUACUCUAAAAAAUCACUGAAUGUGCACUUUAAUUAAGUGAAUUUUAUGAUAUAUAUGUUAUACCUCAAUAAAACUGUUUUUAAAUUUUUUUAAA